ACGUAGGACCCGAGCGUUGUCCGGAUUUACUGGGUGUAAAGGGAGCGCAGGCGGAUUUUCAAGUCGAUGGUGAAAUCUUGCGGCUCAGCCGCAAAACAGCCGUCGAUACUGUUAAUCUUGAGUGUGGAAGAGAGUGGCGGAAUUCAUGGUGUAGCAGUGAAAUGCGUAGAUAUCAUGAAGAACACCGGUUGCGAAGGCGGCCACUUAGUCCAUUACUGACGCUCAUGCUCGAAAGCGUGGGGAUCAAACAGGA
RNAcentral lists this ribosomal RNA (253 nucleotides) under uncultured prokaryote. Its description in RNAcentral is "partial 16S ribosomal RNA". It matches the Rfam family "Bacterial small subunit ribosomal RNA", at positions 525 to 777 of the family's 1533-position model. The record is from RNAcentral.